AUUGAACGCUGGCGGCAGGCCUAACACAUGCAAGUCGAGCGGAUGAAGGGAGCUUGCUCCUGGAUUCAGCGGCGGACGGGUGAGUGAUGCCUAGGAAUCUGCCUGGUAGUGGGGGAUAACGUCCGGAAAAGGGCGCUAAUACCGCAUACGUCCUGAGGGAGAAAGUGGGGGAUCUUCGGACCUCACGCUAUCAGAUGAGCCUAGGUCGGAUUAGCUAGUUGGUGGGGUAAAGGCCUACCAAGGCGACGAUCCGUAACUGGUCUGAGAGGAUGAUCAGUCACACUGGAACUGAGACACGGUCCAGACUCCUACGGGAGGCAGCAGUGGGGAAUAUUGGACAAUGGGCGAAAGCCUGAUCCAGCCAUGCCGCGUGUGUGAAGAAGGUCUUCGGAUUGUAAAGCACUUUAAGUUGGGAGGAAGGGCAGUAAGUUAAUACCUUGCUGUUUUGACGUUACCAACAGAAUAAGCACCGGCUAACUUCGUG
Molecule: ribosomal RNA, 484 nt
Filed under: uncultured bacterium
Lineage: Bacteria
Description: partial 16S ribosomal RNA
Rfam family: Bacterial small subunit ribosomal RNA
Source: RNAcentral